RNAcentral lists this long non-coding RNA (6576 nucleotides) under Triticum aestivum (bread wheat). RNAcentral's name for it is "long non-coding RNA (TAES_LNC024033)". The record is from RNAcentral. Lineage: Eukaryota; Viridiplantae; Streptophyta; Magnoliopsida; Poales; Poaceae.
GUCGAGAUGACCCCGGUUGAGGUUGUCGGCGAUCCAGCUCGUCCCUCCGCCCCUCCUCGUCGCGCCGUCGAUGACCGAGAUGAGGAAGCUGCUGAUGAAGCUGCCGACGCCGAGGACGCUGAGGUAGAGCGCGAGCCCGAGGCUCUUGAGCUCCACGGGCAUCUGGUCGUAGAAGAACUCCUGCAUGCCGACCAUGGUGAACACGUCCGCCGCGCCCAGGAGCACGUACUGCGGCAUGAUCCACCACAGGCUCAUGGGCACCACCGCGCCGGGCAGGUCCACCACGCCGGCGUCCACCGCGGUGCUCAGCCGCCUCAUCUCCACCAGCGCGGCGACCACCAGCGCGGCCACGGCCAGGACCAUUCCCGUGCCGAUCCGCUGGAGCAUGGUGAUACCCAAGGGGGCGCCGGAGAGCCUGCGCGCCACGGGCACCAGGACGCGGUCGUAGAGCGCGACGCAGGUGAUCAUGCUGAUGCCCAUGAAGCACUGCAACGCCGCGGGCGGUAUCUGGAACCCCGACGACCCGACCCGACCCUCCGGUCCAUCGUCGCCGCCUGCUUCGUGAACAGCGUCGGCGGCUGAGCGAACACCACGCCGUAGAGCAGGCACGUCGCCCAUAUCGGGAACAGCCUCGCCAAGCCCCUCACCUCCUCCACGAUGGUAGCGUCCUCCUCGCGGUCGCCAUGCCUGUGCUCUCCGCCUUCCGGCGAUCUCUUUCUCGACGCCCUGAAGGCCUCCACGACACGGGUGAACACGCCGGCGCCCUUGCCGUCGGCCGAGUCGUCGUAGAACCGGUACGUCUUGGUGCCAAGCAGGAAGACGGCGAGCGCCAGCACCAUGACCACGCACGGCACCCCGAAGCCGAUGCCCCAGCUCACGUUGUCCUGGACGUAGCUCAUGAGCGCGAUGGUCACCGUCGCGCUGCCGCAGAUCCCGAAGUACCACCAGUUGAAGAAGGAGCCCCGGGCCAGCGACUCCGCGGGGUCCGUCGCGUCGAACUGGUCGGCGCCGAAGGCCUGCACGCAGGGCUUGUGGCCGCUCUGCGCAAUGGCUACCAGGUAGAGCGAGACGUAGAAGAAGGCCGUCUGCAGGGAGGAACGCGGGCAUGCCUCCCGGCCGUCCGCGGUGAGCUUGCAUUGUUGGCUCGGUGACAAGAACAUGGACGAGAGCGCCAGCAUCCCGAGGCCCUGCAGAUUUUUCAGCUUGGUUGAGAAGAACAGAAACCAGCAACCCUUGUGAUGGUUCAAAUUUAAAAGCUUUAGGGAUACUACUGAAGCAUGAAUCAUACACGAAUUUUGCAUGUGUGGAUACAAUUUCUCCAAAAUAACCACACAAUUUCAUCGUUCAACAUAUGGACCGCACAGAGGGUGCUCGAAUUUUAUGAAACCAUCCUUUAAUAUAUAAUGGGCAGAUGCCAGAUGGGAGGAAUCUGAAUGAAAAGAAGAGCAUGGAUUUGGUGAAACUAAACUACAAAACAUGUCCGAACCAAAUGGGUUAUGUAUUCCCUCCGUCCGAAAAAACUUGUCCGAACCUUGUUUCUCGAAUGGAUGUAUCUAGAUACAUCUAUUUGAAGGACAAGCUUUUUCGAACGGAGAGAAUAUAAUUUAAUCAAAACAAAUUCUGAAAUUUCAGAAACUUCAUUGGAACCAAAUAAUCUAUGAAACACAUGUACAAUCCUCUCUGCAGGACUUCUUUGAUGCAGAGAGGAUUGAUGCUAUGAUGGAUACGGUGUUUAUUGCGACCAAAGGUACAUGGGAUUGUCCUCUUCGGAUGAAGGACACGAGUAUGCUGCACACCCGUUGCGCGAGAACGUAUCUGGUGCAGGCCGAAAUCACUAUUCUGACCCUUUGAACGAACUUUGUCACAGAAUGAACUCGACGUGAAAGUAUUUCACGAUCUGACUCUUUUAGCAACGCCAUAGCCCGCGACGUUUCUGCCCAACAUAGAAACGCCGAGGUAGCUAGCGUUUCUGAUCAAAGAAGAAACGCCGAGGUAGCUAGCGUUGCGGACCAGGUAAGAAACGCCAAAGGAGCUGGCGUUUCUGGCCAUCAUAGAAACGCCAAGGAUCCAUGGCGUUGCUGCCCUCUUUAGUCAUAAUUAAUUAGCCUUAUUAAUUAGGAUGUUCAUCCAUAUUCCACAUCAUAUGAAAAAGGGCAGCAACGCCAUGGUCAUUGGCGUUUCAAUGAUGGGCAGCAACGCCAGCGCCUUCGGCGUUUCUUACCUGGUCCGCAACGCUAGCUACCUCGGCGUUUCUUCUUUGAUCAGAAACGCUAGCUACCUCGGCGUUUCUAUGUUGGGCAGAAAGGUCGCAGGCUGUGGCGUUGCUAAAAGGGUCAGAUCGUGAAAUACUUUCACGUCAAGUUCAUUUUAUGACAAAGUUCGUUCAAAGGGUCAGAAUAAUAAAAAAGGCCUCUGGUGCACCGGUAGCACCACUGGUGCACCGGUAGCACCACCGGUGCACCGGACACAUUAGCACAUUUUAGAAUGUCUUAAAAAAGCUCAAGAAUCUAGCACAUUGGCAUAACAUCAAUGUAUGUUGUCAUAAAAAUUCAUAUCAAAAUUCAAAACAUUGCUUGAGAUACAAAAAGGAUAAUUUUGACAUCAAUGUGAUAAUGGGCCAAAUCUAAAGCCCAACUUGUGUUAUAUACUAUUCUGUGUCGAAUUUGUCAUUUUUAAGGUAUGUUUUGAAUUUUGAUACGAAAUUUGAUGACAACAUACAUUGAUGUUAUGCUAAUGUGUUAUAUCUUUUUUCAGAUUUUUGAUACAUUUAAAAAUGUGCUAAGGAAGUUCGAUGCACCAGUAGCAUCAAAUGGCCCGGUGCACCGGUAGCAUCAAAUGGCCUAGUGCACUAGAUACAUUCUUCCCGUUACGCAACCAGUUCAGCAAUUGCUUGUUCUGCAAAAGUCAGACGGUUUAGGCACCGGGGCAGCCGGUGGCUCUGCUGCCUGAUGCGGCGCUUGCGGCAGUGUAGGCUUCUUCGACUAUUGUUCAGGACAAAGGGAGAGAGAAUUCAGAGGUGGUGCCGCUUGAGGGAGUGGCUUCUUCGACUAUUGUUCAGGACAAAGGGAGAGUGAAUUCAGAGGUGGACCAAUCAAGUGAGGUGGUGAUAAAAAGGAAAAAACAUAUUGUUUCCGUUGUGGGGGAGGUUGGUCACUUUGUAGUCGACUGUAAUGCCGAGUUGUGUGAUAAUUGCUUGAAGCCGUGUCAUAAAACUGAUGUCUGGCUACUUCUCACGAUGCUUAAAACAGUGGUUACGACUUAUGGGCGUGCAGCUCUAAAUUGAUGUUCUUCGAAACCCAUGUUCGUGUUCCAACUCAAGCAGGCGAUGCCUUGAAAGCACGAGGAUUGGGCUUGUGCAUGUAUCAGGAGGUUCUCUCUCGGAGGAGCAAGUGUUGCAGCAACUUAAGAAACUUGUUCCGGCGGAGUUUCGUUGGACUCUUGUGUUGAUAGAAGAAAAUGUCUUUAAGGUGGACUUCACAAGGAAGGAAGAUCGGGCUCGUCUCAUGGUGUUUAUAGUAUUUGUGAGGUACCGGACAAUACAUGUUUUCUCGAAUUCGAGGAGUGGUCUAGCCGUGAGCCUGAGGGUCUACCGCUGCAUGAGAUUUGGGUGAGGUUUCAUGGGGCUCCGUCUAGGCCACUGAAUGACUUUUAUGGGGUUUUGAAGGCGGGGAGUUUGGAUGAUGUUCCUGAGACACCAGCCGCGGCAGGGGCGUGGAUGGUGCCGAUCUCGUGGGGUUUGCUCCAGCACCAUCCACUCCCGCUCCACCUCCAAUGACACUCGCUCCACCUCCGGCCAACAAUCAAGUACAUGCGGUUGUGCAUAUUUUAUUUUAUUUUAGCGGUUAGUUUUUUUUGGCGGUUGCUACUCCGAAUUGAUUAGAUUGUGUAGAUUCAAUUGUGCACCGGAAGCAACAUGCAUGCCGGACUACCUAGUACCUAGUACUCCCUCCGUCCCAAAUAAGAUGCAGGCCGGACUAUCUAAUACUCCCUCCGUCCCAAAUUACUUGUUGUAGAAAUGGAUGUAUUUAAAAUUAAAAAUACAUUUAGAUACACCCAUUUCCGCGAUAAGCAUUCAAGAGGAUGGAGGGAGUACAUGGUUACGAUCAAACACUCAGAGAGUUUGAAGCGCUUGAUUAGGCUAGGCCGCUAUGGAACAUGGGGGCGGGUGCACUUUUAAAAAAGUUUCCGCGCUACUGCUUCACCUAAAAGGACGCAUAAAUAUAUUUUUGCGGCUCGGCACGAGCUAAAGCGCUAAAGAUGAUCUGGAAACCUCGAUCCGGUGAUGAUCAUGUGUUUCAAGAAAAAAAUAUAGUACGGUCUCAGAAAACAAAAGGUUUAUAGUUCAGCUCAGCAUUCUUUCUUGGAGGACCGGUUCAGCUGAUUUAUGAGCACAGCGACGUGGGGAGCAGUACGCGUGUGGCGUCUCCGCUUCCGCCGGAUCAAAACGAUGAGGCAUCGCUGUCAACGAUAAUAUUCUAGUAGGCAGUUGCGUCUAAACUGAUAAAACAAAAAAUGUUACUACUAUACGGUUCCAUGCGCCACUCGUGCGAGAUUUUUUGAACCAGUAAACGAUCUAACUGGACCCAAUUCAGAAGAACCACAGAAAAGUUGGACGACUGAACAGGAGGAAAAAGCUGUGUUCGACAUCGACGAACGAAUCAGAGGUGUUGUGCAGGGUUAGCUGACCGUGAUGUAGAGCACGGAGGAGGCGACGAUGGUGCGGUACCGCCCGAGCCACGAGUCGGCGACGGCGGCGCCGAGCAGCGGCAGCAUCGACGCGGCGCCCGACCACGCGUUGACGGCCGCGGCGGCGGCCGCCGUGCUCUCGCCGAGCGGGCCGGUGAGGUAGCUGAUGAGGUUGGAGGAGAUGCCGUAGUACGCGAACCGCUCCGCCACCUCCACCCCUUGAGUCGCCGUGGAAAGCAUGUAGCGCCCACCCCUGAUUAGCGAAUGAAUCGAGCCGAGAAAGCAAAGCUAGGGGGGAGCGAGAUCGUGGCAGGCUUACAGAUGAUGAACAGAGCCGACCUCCAGCCGCCGGUGGCGGGGCGGUGGCCGGCGCGAGGGAGGAGCGGCUCGGGGUCUGGCGCCAUGGGUAGCGGCCGGGGCGCUGUGUGUGUGAGGAGGAUGCGCGCGGUGGGCUGACAGGUGAUGGCUUGAAGACCUUGAGAAGGAGGUGUCGUGUUCUAAUGCAUAGCGAUCAGCGGUGGGGACGGGAUGGCGCGCCUGGUGAUUCUGUUUCUCGUGUUAUACAUUUUUUUUUUGAGGGGGGUUUCUCGUGUUAUACAUGGGCUUCAUGGAUCAAGAACCUAGGCUUACCUUCCAUUUUUUUUCUCUGAUCGGGGGCCCAUGAUUUUGGGGGGCCCUGUGCGGUCGGCCAGUUUGGCACCCCUCAUCGACGGGCCUGUAGACCAAUAUAUUGUCCACGUAAGAAGAAGCUACUUUGAGCUUAUGGGUAAAAUGAACCAUGCAAAUAUGUCAUGUUUAGGCUUUUGUAAACUUCAAUGUUUAUACUUUCAACCCCUUGAGCUAAGCGAGGAUGUCCGCGGGGAGAAGGAGGCCCCCCUGAAAAUACGAAUAUUUAGAGGAAGAUGGCGAGGAGGAGAAAAUACUGACAUAACAAGUUAACAACACAGAAAAAACGGAAAGUGAAACGCCUAGGAGAAGCUGGAGGAGGGAGAUCUAGAAGUAGUAGGGAGCUGCUCUGCCAAGCUCGCAAUGACCUUGGCAGAUUUUCUCGCCGGAGACUAGGCUCCCGUCAACCUCUGACCUCAGUUCAAACUAACCACCAUUCAAAACUGCGACACUUAUUUUUAAUGGAUGAAGUAGAUGGAACUGGAUCUUCUAACAUACACAAGGAUGUUAGAGAAGCUACAGUACCUAACUUUCUUUCUGUUAAUCCAUACAAUUAAGGCUAAAAUAAUUUAAAUUAAUUUUUAAAUUACAAAUCUAGUAUGCACAUUCAUAGUAAUUACAUACAAACAAGUUGACGGCGAGAUAAAAUUAAUUUUGGAUUUUUUAUAUAUACAAUAAUUACCAAAAUUAAAUAACUUGCUAAUAGUCUGUAACAUCCCUUCUUCAUUUUACACUAGACGAGCACUGUAGCACCUUGACUUCCCCUCUCUAAAGUUAGGGCGGUGGUCAGCGUACUCGUCUACUAUAACUUUACUGAUGCUGCUUGCAAUUGUACUGUAUACCUGGCCACAGAUCCAUUGUACAUAGACGGAUGUAUCAGUCUCGCUCAGUGAACAUUGACAAGCUUUCUCUUGUAAACGUAAGCCGCCGAGAAGUAGAGGAAAGCAAGAAGCUCCAGCGCGCUGAGAGCGGCAAGGAGCAUGUAGAAGUAAUCAAGAUGGCCCCUGUUGAGGUUGUCGGCGAACCAGCUCGUCCCGCCGCCCCUCCUCGUCAACCCGUCGAUGACCGAGAUGAGGAAGCUGCUGAUGAAGCUGCCGACGCCGAGGACGCUGAGGUAGAGCGCGAGCCCGAGGCUCUUGAGCUCGGCGGGCAUCUGGUCGUAGAAGAACUCCUGCAUGCCGACCAUGGCGAACACGUCCGCCGCGCCCAGGAGCACGUACUGCG